Lathyrus oleraceus (garden pea) is the source of this 1220-nucleotide long non-coding RNA. RefSeq lists it as uncharacterized. NCBI's taxonomy places the organism in Eukaryota, Viridiplantae, Streptophyta, Magnoliopsida, Fabales, Fabaceae. The transcript has 2 exons. The record is from RefSeq and is a predicted model, not a curated record.
CUUGAUCAUGAACACAGGCCAGUGUGUGUGAAAUAAUGAAUGGAAGUGCUAAUUAAGAAAUCACUUGGGCCAAAGGCCCAAGUCUCCAAAACCAAGACCCGGUGCCAGGUAUGUGACCCGUGAGCGUCCAAGAUUCUAGGUUGACGAUGCAUCCAUGAACUCCUCGGUUUGAAAUCUUCACCAAUCGUAUUCGACCGUGCGAACAUCAAGAAUUCGCUUCCAUGGUUCCAUGGAAGAACCACGAACAUCGAUCAAACUCUGUCCAGCUCCUGCCAUGAAUCACGAAUUUCGUACGCUUAUUCCAAUGCUUGCAACACGUAGGAGAACGGAUAAAUGGUCGCGUUUCAACUUGCGUUUCUUCGUCAAUCUCGCUGUGUUCCACUUCGUGUUUCGUCAAUUCAAAGUUUGACUUGGACAAUUCCGACUCUAACCGAUGUGAAUUUAAAACGCAAGGAGGAGUGAGCACUCACCCUUUCGACGUGGCGGAGAAAAGAUGGAUCAAGCUUAUGAAAUUUCAUGGCCAUUGCAGGUUGCUUGUAAGAUCAUGCUUAUGAAAUUGCAUUACCGUUGGAUUUAGGCGAAGAAGCAGUGUUGGAAUGCAGGUUGAGUUGGCGGUUUGGUUGCUCUGCAGAAUUGGUUUUGUCGGUUUUGUUGUUAAAAAAAUCCAUUCUAUUGGAGACUUUUCGAAGAAUGUCAUGAGAAGUUCUGUUAUAUACUGUUAUGACAGUUAGUUUGUGAGCUGUUAGACUCGCCGCAUUGCAGUAUUCGUAUAUGCUAACCCUUUUUGGAUUGUUGGGUUGUGACUUGCAGGAUCAUGACAGGUUGGAAGUUGUGUUGUUGUUUCUGUUCGCCAUUGCGUGGUCACGACGAAUUGUGCCGAUGGUUUGUGGUUAUUCCAGGCUCAUUAGUUAGAAGGUGGUGAGGCGAACGGUUAAUCAAGUAGUAAUUGCAUCAACAUCUGAACUGACUGGUAGGUUAGGGACAUGUUAAUAACAGCAGCAGUUGUACUGCUCUUGUUAGCCUGAACUUGUUAAUGGUGGCGGGAAUCACAAUUGUGUUAAUUUGUUAUAGACGGAGAAGUUUAUUUUAGGAAUGUGAAGUGUAUUAGUUGUGAUUGUAAUCUGCAAACUGAAUUUUACUUUGUCAUGAGUUCUUGAACGGAACCGAGGUACAUUCGUAUGGCAGGUUGGAUUUAUUAUUAAGAAACGUUAUUUAACGUA